UUACGACAAUAUCACAUUGAAACACCGGUCCUUGUACGAUCCCCGAAGUUAAGCAACGUAGAGCUAGGUCAGUACUUAGAUGUAUGUCCAAUUGAGAAUACCAGGGUG
Molecule: non-coding RNA, 108 nt
Organism: Acanthosepion pharaonis
Lineage: Eukaryota; Metazoa; Mollusca; Cephalopoda; Sepiida; Sepiidae
Source: the annotation of a GenBank genome assembly